Molecule: long non-coding RNA, 306 nt
Organism: Pipistrellus kuhlii (Kuhl's pipistrelle)
Lineage: Eukaryota; Metazoa; Chordata; Mammalia; Chiroptera; Vespertilionidae
Exons: 2
Source: RefSeq, a predicted model, not a curated record
UAAUAAAGUUAUUGAGUUAUAAAUAAGAAUUCUACUGUAUUAAAAAAAUUUAGUUGAAUGCUGAUUCACAUAAAGUCCUCAUAAAGGACUUUUGCAGAUGAAAACUUGCACAAUCUGAAAAAUAUUCUUUAACAAUAAGUAAUAUUUUAAUCUUCCUAUUGUCAUUGGUCUACAGUGUGUGCAUACAGGUCCCAAUGAUGCCCUACCACUGCCCUCUCAUUUGUUUUACUUUCAAGCUAAAUACAGCUCACAACCUGUUAAUAGUUGUACAAAUCAGAGUUUCAUUACCAGUGUUUAUUUAAAUAG